UAGAGAGAGACAUGCGCGCAUAUCAAUAAGCGGAGGAAAAGAAACUAACAAGGAUUCCCUUAGUAACGGCGAGUGAAGCGGGAAGAGCUCAAAUUUGAAAUCCUCAAGGUUUUACCUUGACGAAUUGUAGUUUAAAGAAGUGUUUUCUGCUGAAGUUUUGGUAAAAGUUCUUUGGAAUAGGACAUCAUAGAGGGUGAGAAUCCCGUAUUUGACCAUUAUUUCAGCUUUGUGAUACACUUUCAAAGAGUCGGAUUGUUUGGGAAUGCAGUCCAAAAUGGGUGGUAAAUUUCAUCUAAAGCUAAAUAUUGGCGAGAGACCGAUAGCGAACAAGUACCGUGAGGGAAAGAUGAAAAGAACUUUGAAAAGAGAGUUAAACAGUACGUGAAAUUGUCAAAAGGGAAGCGUUUGACACCAGUGUUGUUUUCUCGAAAAUCAAUUAAAAAUGGCUCGAUUUUGUAUUGCUUGAGACCUUAAAAGCUCACUGUACAUUUUUCGUGUCUUUUUUAAUGCACUUUUCGUUUAACAAGUCAACAUCAGUUUCUUUUGUUGUAAAAGGGUCAUUGGAAGGUGGCUUUCUUUUCGGAGAAAGUGUUUAUAGCCUUUGGCCUCUGCAAUCGGAGAGACUGAGGUCUGCAGCGUAGACUCUUCGGGGUUAGAUACAUUUGUGCUAAGUUAUAGCUUUUUAUAGACAACUUGUUGACUAUAAUUAGUCUUGUAGCUUACUCGCUUAUGCUAUUUUACCUACGCUUAGGAUGUUGAAGAUGUAGCACAUCAU
Molecule: ribosomal RNA, 775 nt
Filed under: uncultured Neocallimastigales
Lineage: Eukaryota; Fungi; Neocallimastigomycota; Neocallimastigomycetes; Neocallimastigales
Description: partial large subunit ribosomal RNA
Rfam family: Eukaryotic large subunit ribosomal RNA
Source: RNAcentral